This 326-nucleotide ribosomal RNA is filed under the name uncultured bacterium. RNAcentral describes it as "bacterial SSU rRNA". It matches the Rfam family "Bacterial small subunit ribosomal RNA", at positions 28 to 334 of the family's 1533-position model. The record is from RNAcentral.
GAUGAACGCUGGCGGCGUGCCUAACACAUGCAAGUCGAACGAAGCAUCAUAAAGGAAGUUUACGGAUGGAAUUUAAGAUGACUGAGUGGCGGACGGGUGAGUAACGCGUGGAUAACCUGCCUCAUACAGGGGGAUAACAGCUAGAAAUGGCUGCUAAUACCGCAUAAGCGCACAGUAUCGCAUGGUGCAGGGGUCAAAGGAGCAAUCCGGUGAAAGAUGGGCUCGCGUCCGAUUAGCUAGUUGGUGAGAUAACAGCCCACCAAGGCGACGAUCGGUAGCCGACCUGAGAGGGUGAUCGGCCACAUUGGAACUGAGAGACGGUCCAG